GCCAAUAAUACGUCACUGUUAAAAGAAUAUGCUAUACAACGAUUCACUUUAAAAUUACAAUAACAAACCUCUGUAAAAGGUAGUUUCUCUAUAGAUUUAUAAUAAAAACUGGUGACAUAAGAAUUGUCGUGUCCAAAAUCAAUGUGAUACACCAAAUACACUGCAGCACCCUCCCUCCAUGAUGAAACAGACCAGAAAAAAAAAUUCAUCAACAUAUCAGCUGUCAGGUGGCACUCAGUGAUGAACUAAGCACCUGGAUCUUAUUCACGAGUAAAUUUACUUGUUCUCUGUACAUUUCCUUCAUAUCAAUAAUAUCAGCACGAAGUUCUU
RNAcentral lists this unclassified non-coding RNA (330 nucleotides) under Hevea brasiliensis (rubber tree). Lineage: Eukaryota; Viridiplantae; Streptophyta; Magnoliopsida; Malpighiales; Euphorbiaceae. The record is from RNAcentral.